UGCCAGCCGCCGCGGUAAUACGAACCGGGCAAACGUUAUUCGGAAUUACUGGGCUUAAAGGGUGCGUAGGCGGCGCUAUAAGUCGGGUGUGAAAUCCCACGGCUCAACCGUGGAACUGCGCCCGAUACUGUAGUGCUUGAGGAAGAUAGAGGUGAGCGGAACGAAUGGUGGAGCGGUGAAAUGCGUUGAUAUCAUCUGGAACACCGGUGGCGAAAGCGGCUCACUGGAUCUCUUCUGACGCUGAGGAACGAAAGCUAGGGUAGCGAACGGGAUUAGAUA
Molecule: ribosomal RNA, 279 nt
Filed under: uncultured bacterium
Lineage: Bacteria
Description: partial 16S ribosomal RNA
Rfam family: Bacterial small subunit ribosomal RNA
Source: RNAcentral